AUGUUCUACUACGGCCUAGAUUUCCAUGAUCUGGCCCCAAAUUUUAUUCUCAACAUCUCGACAUUUAUCGUCGUGUGCGAGGCCUUCCUCUGCAUCCAGCCUCACUUCGGCUUGUGGCUCAAGACCUUCAGUGUCAAGCCGAAGGUUGUGAAGGGCAGCCAAGCGGAGUGCAGAGGCGCCAUGGUGGGCAGGAUGUCCCAUGUUACGUGGCUGGAGGGCACCUUUGUGGAAACCAUCAAGGGGUGGCAACGGGGUGGCUCUACAUCACCGAGCCGCGUGAUCCCGAAUGGGCAGCGGCCCCCGAAUUCAGAUCCGGGAUCCCCACACGGCUCACCUCCUGGAAAGAGAGCGGCCGGAUUUGGGGCGAUUCGUAGGAGCUGA
RNAcentral lists this ribosomal RNA (381 nucleotides) under Triticum aestivum (bread wheat). RNAcentral describes it as "partial small subunit ribosomal RNA". The record is from RNAcentral. Lineage: Eukaryota; Viridiplantae; Streptophyta; Magnoliopsida; Poales; Poaceae.